RNAcentral lists this small nucleolar RNA (142 nucleotides) under Drosophila mojavensis. RNAcentral describes it as "snoRNA:GI25439". The record is from RNAcentral. Lineage: Eukaryota; Metazoa; Arthropoda; Insecta; Diptera; Drosophilidae.
GUAGUUAAAUAAUCAUACUGACACUGUAUAUACUUGUAGUUAAUGAUUACCUGCAAUUUAAGCGAAUCGAUUAAUGGAUGCUGGCGUGUGUCACACAAGUUAAAUAACACAAUCGCAUCAUUCCAUAAGCAAUCGUACAAAU